CGAUAACGAACGAGACCUUAACCUGCUAAAUAGUUAGGCCAACGUUUGUUGGUCGUCAACUUCUUAGAGGGACUAUUGACUAUUAGUCAAUGGAAGUUUGAGGCAAUAACAGGUCUGUGAUGCCCUUAGAUGUUCUGGGCCGCACGCGCGCUACACUGAUCAAGUCAACGAGUUUACAACCUUGGCCGGAAGGUCUGGGUAAUCUUUUGAAACUUGAUCGUGCUGGGGAUAGUCCAUUGCAAUUAUUGGACUUCAACGAGGAAUUCCUAGUAAGCGUGAGUCAUCAGCUCGCGUUGACUACGUCCCUGCCCUUUGUACACACCGCCCGUCGCUACUACCGAUUGAACGGCU
This 351-nucleotide ribosomal RNA is filed under the name uncultured fungus. Its description in RNAcentral is "SSU rRNA". It matches the Rfam family "Eukaryotic small subunit ribosomal RNA", at positions 1326 to 1698 of the family's 1831-position model. Lineage: Eukaryota; Fungi. The record is from RNAcentral.